GGCCCAUAGUUCAGUGGUUAAACAUCUGCCUUGCAUGCAGAAGGUCUCUGGUUCAAUCCCUGGCAUCUCCA
Non-coding RNA from Podarcis lilfordi (Lilford's wall lizard), 71 nucleotides. NCBI's taxonomy places the organism in Eukaryota, Metazoa, Chordata, Lepidosauria, Squamata, Lacertidae. The record is from the annotation of a GenBank genome assembly.